RNAcentral lists this ribosomal RNA (182 nucleotides) under uncultured bacterium. RNAcentral describes it as "partial 16S ribosomal RNA". It matches the Rfam family "Bacterial small subunit ribosomal RNA", at positions 1319 to 1500 of the family's 1533-position model. The record is from RNAcentral.
CAUGAAGCCGGAAUCGCUAGUAAUCGCGGAUCAGAAUGCUGCGGUGAAUACGUUCCCGGGUCUUGUACACACCGCCCGUCACACCAUGGGAGUUGGAAAUGCCCGAAGCCAGUGACCCAACCGUAAGGAGGGAGCUGUCGAAGGUGGAGCCGAUGACUGGGGUGAAGUCGUAACAAGGUAUC